GCCAAGCCUCUGGGUGCACAGUGUCUCGGGAGGCCCAGCAACACCUUCCCUUUGGAUGUGUCACUGACCUUUCCAGGCAUUAUUUUCUCCGCUCCCCGUCUCGUCUGCAUUGAUCCGGACGCUGGAAGGCAGCCGUCAAUGGGGUGCUGGCGCUCACUCCCAACAGCCCCUCCAAGAGCCAUCUGAGCCUCUUCCCUGCUUUAGGUCCAGAGAUGCCAUGGGGCAGCAAGGAAUCAGCCACGGGGGACAAUUUACAUCCUGGAAGUCACCAAUGCAACAAAGUGACAGCAUGUUGAUAAGCAUUUCCCAGCAUAUCACUGACUGUAGCUGAUUUGUUAUUUCUUCUAGCCUGUCUCCACUCCUGUUGAUGGAUAUUUAGGUUGUCUCCAACCUUUUAGAGUUUCAGACAACAUUGCAGUGACCUCCUUUGCCCAUUUUCCCAAACCCAUGUAAAGGUGUGGAGGUAGGAGAUGAGGGUGGGGCAAACUGGCUGGACCAGUGGGCGUGACCUGUCAAUCACAGAGACUGGGUGCACAGGAGCCAGUUUCCAAGCUCCACAAGGAGACCAAUCAGAAAGUGUUAUCUUCACCUCUGGCUCCAAACCAAGCCGGUUUUUGAUAGGACAGCCUAGAUCUGAGGUCAGGCUGAAGAAGGAGAGAUACAAAGAACUCUGCCAUUAACCUCGUGGCCACUGCCAGCUUCUCCCAGUGGGCCUCACUCCGCAGAGUACUUCUUAUCUACCUUAAUAAGUGUAAAACAUCACUACCUGUUUUCAUGUGUCUUGUCAAAUUCUUUGUUCAGGACACCAAGAAGCUGGAAUGCUUCCCUAAAAGAGUCUACAGUGCCCCAGAAUCCGGUGACCAUUUCGAGGAAAUGGAGGGGAGACUGUUGGGGUAUGCUGGGCCCUGCAUACUAGUGAAGGUGGGUGUUUAACUUCCAACUUGCUGCCAAAUCGAGAAGUAAUUUACACUCCUACUGCAGGGUAUCUCGUCCUCAGGGAUGCUGUAGAGGAACUAAUUUCGUGUGAAGUUGACCAUGAGCUGAUCUGCUGAUUGUUUAAUUUUCAAUUCCUGUUUACUGACAGGCUGGGAAUCUUUCCCCCGCGGCUUUCAUGUCUUCUUUUUUGUUUUUUGGGGGGUUUUUUUGGUACCGGGGAUCGAACUCUGGUCCUUGCGCUUGCACAGCAGGCGGCGAAACCACUGAGCUAAAUCCCCGGCCCUCAUGUCUUCUUUUUUGAAUUGCCUGUUCUUUCCCUUUGCCCAUUUGUCCACUGGGUGGCUUGUGUGGCCUUUCUUCUGACUGGCUUCCUGGAGCUUUUCACAUAACAGUUCCAUCCAGACUCUGUUUUUCAAUGUGUAUUGGACAAUUCUCUUCUGAUCUGUUGCCUUUCUGUUAAUAUUGUUUAUGAGACUCCUCUUAUAGCAGUGGCUAAUGUUGCAGCACAAUGUAUCAUAGCUAGAUCUUGGAAACAGCAUAUAUGCCCAUCAACAAAUGAAUGGAUAAAGAAAAUCUGAUAUUUAUACACAACAAAAUACUAGGAUGCCAUAAAGAAAGAUAAAUUUAGCCAGGUGUGGUGGUACUGUAAUCAGUACAGCUGUGGUGUGCUGUAAUCCCAGCACUUGGGAGGAUGAGGCAGGAGGAUCACCAAGAACUUGAGGCCAACCUGGGCUACGUAAUGAGUUCAAGGCCAGCCUGAACUAUGUAGCAAGACCUUGUCUAAAAACAAAGAUAAACUUGGGGCACUUAUAGGCAGAUGGAUGCACCUGAGACCAUAAUGUUAAGUGAAAUAAGUCAGAAACAGAAGCUCAACUAUCACAUGGUUUUUCUUACAUGAGAAACAAACCAUAUAUACACAUAUACACAGAGAGAGUGAGACAGAGAGAAAAAUAGAAGAGAAAUAAAUAGGAAGUAGUAACAAGUUCAAUUACUUCCCUAAAUUACAUAUUCCACUAUUCUAAAAAUAAUUCAAUAUAUAUGCUAACUUGUUUUAUAUAUACUACUAC
Molecule: long non-coding RNA, 2003 nt
Organism: Heterocephalus glaber (naked mole-rat)
Lineage: Eukaryota; Metazoa; Chordata; Mammalia; Rodentia; Bathyergidae
Source: Ensembl